CGAUAGUCACCUUCAUUUUCCAUAAAACAGCCUAGACCUUUCCCCAAAUAAAUCAAUUUUACUUUUACAAUAACAUAAUCUUAUUCCUACAAGCAUGACUCUUAAUAUAUGUUUGGAAGUAGCAAAAUUCUUUUAAAAACACACCAUUUGCUCUUUUUGUAACAUAACUAAAAUCAUAUAUUUUCCUAAACAGGUGUGGUAAAGUCACUGUUUUUAUCCACCAGCUCUCUUGUCAUGAAAUAUGGAGAAUAGAAGGUCAUGUCACUGGCAUAUAACCCAACAGUUAUGAAGAUAAAAAGUGAAGAUGAAAAGUGAAAAGGUUUUGAGACCUUUCUUGGAGUCCAAAGGCAACACAGAAAUUGACAAAAUCAGAACACAACAAAAUGUAGGUUCUCUUGCUUCAAGUGGACAUUCAUUCCAUUACAGCAUGCAAGGCAUGUCCGGCUUGACAGAAUUAGCGGAGAAGAUGUGAGACGCUGGAGUUUUAGAUAAAUCAAUGACAUUAGAUUGCUAAAUCUGGAAUUUGCUUCUCAAGAAAAAAGAGGGAAGAAAGAAGGAAGCAAAAAAGGAGAGAGAAGAAAAGGAGAGAAAAUAAGCUUAAUUUUUGUUAUUCAAUUCUUUACUUUGUACUUUCUCACUGUCAAUAAUAUAAUCGUAAAAAUAACAAAUAGUAUAAUUAAUGUAAUAUUAUAUAUACUUAUAGUAUAUGGUGUUAUAUAACAAAACAAAGCAAUAAAGAAGUAUAUUUGAAAAAUCUAAAUCUUUGA
This 767-nucleotide long non-coding RNA is filed under the name Meriones unguiculatus (Mongolian gerbil). RNAcentral describes it as "lncRNA (ENSMUGG00000012044.1)". The record is from RNAcentral. Lineage: Eukaryota; Metazoa; Chordata; Mammalia; Rodentia; Muridae.